CGUCGACAUAAAACAACUGACUCAGAACUGAAGCGGACAAGGGGAAUCCGACUAGUUUAAUAAAAACAUAGCUUGUGAUGGCCUGAAAAGGUGUUGACACAAAGUGAUUUCUGCCCAGUGCUUUGAACGUGAAUAUGAAGUAAUUUGUAGAAGCUCAGGUAAACGGCGGGAGUAACUAUGACUCUCUUAAGGUAGCCAAAUGCCUCGUCAUCUAAUUAGUGACGCGCAUGAAUGGAUCAAUGAGAUUCCCACUGUCCCUAUUUACUAUUUAGCGAACCCACAGUCAAGGGAACGGGCUUGAAAUAAUCAGCGGGGAAAGAAGACCCUGUUGAGCUUGACUCUAGUCCGACUUUGUGAAAUGACUAACGAAGUUUAGCCUUAGGUGGGAGCCAACGCGCCAAUGAAAACCACUAUUUGUUACGUCAUUUUACUUACUCCGUAAAGAAGUGAUCGGUUUACCGAUUCUAGAACUAAGGGUAGUUUACUGCCUGAGCUUUGCGGAAGACACGGUCAGGUGGGGG
This 521-nucleotide ribosomal RNA is filed under the name uncultured eukaryote. Its description in RNAcentral is "eukaryotic LSU rRNA". It matches the Rfam family "Eukaryotic large subunit ribosomal RNA", at positions 2087 to 2618 of the family's 3401-position model. The record is from RNAcentral.